GGACGUGAAAACGCUUGGCCUCUACGUACAGCAGACUGGCAUCAGAUAGAUCUCACCCCAUCCAUAGCAAUUUUAUGGUUAUUCAUGUGCCAUAACAUCGAGCCUAUAUCCCACAGAACAACAUUUACAAAUCUAAGGGCCGGAUUCAUAUACCAUUUGGUUAGAGGGAACAAGAUUGAUCUAGCCACGUACAUCUACAAUCAAAUUCAUGGUACAGGCACUUGGGG
This 227-nucleotide long non-coding RNA is filed under the name Olea europaea (common olive). RNAcentral describes it as "long non-coding RNA (OEUR_LNC013329)". Lineage: Eukaryota; Viridiplantae; Streptophyta; Magnoliopsida; Lamiales; Oleaceae. The record is from RNAcentral.